Molecule: non-coding RNA, 3137 nt
Organism: Chlorocebus sabaeus (green monkey)
Lineage: Eukaryota; Metazoa; Chordata; Mammalia; Primates; Cercopithecidae
Source: RefSeq, a predicted model, not a curated record
UGCGAUCUCUGCUUCCCAGGUUCAAGUGAUUCUGCUGCCUCAGUCUCCUGAGUAGUCUCAGGUAGUAUCUUUAUAGCAGUGUGAAAAUGGACUAAUACAAUCAUAAAGCAAGAAAGUGACCUCAUGGCAGGAUGCACGGGUGGUUACACAGUUUGUUGGAAAUCCUUGGCCUAGGCCAUCGCUUUGGAUGAGAACUGAUUUCAGCGCAGUUUAAGAGAACUAUUAUUCUAUUCUUGCUGGACACUGGUCUUCAGGGUUCUUCAUCAUGCUGACACAGUUAACAUAAUACAAAGUUGUGUUCUAUAAACAGUAGAUUUAUUCAUGAAACAUACUUGAAAUGGCUACUGCCUCUUAAAAGAGACAUUUCCGUUUCAGCAAAUCAUUGUAAAAAUUGGAAGAAAAUAGAAAAUUAUUUGCUGUACUUCUUUGUUUUAAAUACUCAGAACUAGAGUAAUAAAGAAAUUUAGAAUUUCUUUAAUUAUUAGCAAUUCAACGUUUAUUGAGUUCUAAUACAUAGAGAGCUCAAUUAGAGGUAUUAUCUAAUAUUUCAUAGAAAGUAAAAUGGUAAUCCCUAAAUGAAAAUCCAGUUUUUGUUGUGUGUGCUCAUACUUAAAGACAAUAUUCAAUGUAUUAAGCAGUUUUUUAACAGUGUAAUAAAGUCUCCUUUUUAGAUUUAGCAGUAAAGGGCACUAUACAUAAAACACCCAGCAUUAUGCAACCUGGCAAAAAUAGGAAUAAAAUAAAUUAUAGUAAUUAUUAAUAUUAACAAAAGUAUUACAGCUAAUUUUGUCAUAUUCUUUUGUCUUCAAAAUAGUUAUUAGUGCCUAUAACUAAAAUAAAGAUUUGACUAUGAUGUUUCCACAAAUUUCUUAUUCUUUUAUGUGUCUACAUUUCUUCCUAAUAAGGUAAGCUUCUUUCCUACAAAACAGACUUAACCCUGAAUUUCUGCCUAACCUUAUAGACAAUGUAUUAAUAUAGUCACAGCAUUUUUUCUUGUUUGGCCCUAUAUUAUGAAGUUCAAAUUAUUAACACUAUAUAUUUUCCUUGUUGUUCAUAUGCCAAAUAAUGAUAUGCUAAAAUUAAUAUUUUUGCUUAAAUUGGUGAACUAUACACUAUAUAAAUAUAAAUGUGAGUUAUGGGCAUUUAAUUAUAUGUAACUAUCUGAUUUGAAUUUAAUCUAAAAUUAAAGUAUAAACAUUAUUUUCAUGAUUGGACUUUCAGAUGGAAUUGUUAAAUAUAUUUCUAAAACUAACAUUUUUGACAUAAUCCCUAUUAAUCCUACAGUAGUAUAGCUGUGGAAGCGUAGCAUAAAUGAAAGAAACAUUGGUUUUGAAGUCAAAGUGAGUAUAGACCCUUGCCAUAUUUCCAAAGAAUCUAAGCUGAGUGGAGUAUGACAUGGGCCCUGGGGACAUAAAAGCAGAAUUGUCUUACGCAUCCUGUGAAGAAACGUUAUAACUGCUAAGAGACUUUGAACAUUUAGCUUAAUUUUGGUAAAAUUACAAUUAUAGUGACACCUAUUCUACUUGUUGUGUGGAUCACAUUAGAUAAUAGAUGGGCAAUGCCUUAAAAAUUACAAAGUGUUGGGCCAAUGUUGGUCAUUAUUUGAACCUCUUCCAUGUAAUUUAAAUUGUUUUCAGAUUUCUGGGUUUUUUUUUUUUUUUUAAGUCAUCUAUCUUUGAUGAUAGCACGAAAUACAACGUUGAAGUGUUAAGCUAUAAUUUUAAAAGGGCCCCCAAGUAUGGUAAAAUCCUGACGACUAUAAGAGAGAAGACAAAGAGAAAAUCUCAGGCAGAGUUGGCAGGACACAGAGUUCUUGAAAGUAAAUAUAAACUUCCAAAGUCAAAAUCAAUAACCUAUUGCUUAAAUCAAAUAGAAUGGAUAGGCUGGGUGGUAUCUGAAGCUCCUGAGCUUCCAUUUCAUCGUGUUUUAGAAGGGGAGGCAAGACUGAAUGAGGAAAUGUAACAACGUGGCAUCUUUUCCAGAAAUAAUCCUUUGGCCUGUCAGUGUGGUGGAGGAACUCUCAGUGUAUGAUGGUUCUAAAACUGUCCAUUUUCAUCCAGCAAAAUAAAGAUACAUGUGCAUGUGCAUGUGCGAGCGUGCGCACACACACACACACACCUUUUGUCAUAUUGAUUUUUUUUUCUUGUGAGCUAUGGAGACUUCCAAGAUGCCAGUUGAAAUAAAAUCCCAGCUACUAAAAGCCAAAACACUGAGCAGAGAUAUAUGUACCAUGUACUACAUGGAGAUAGGUGUCACAGUUUGAGUUCAGGCAAGUUAGAGACUAUUAGCAAAAAUUCAACAAUUCUCAGAAGAGGAAAACACAUUGCAGCAUGGUUACAGUGUCUAAUAUUCAACUAAAGUUUAUAAGUCAUACAAAAAAAUUUACAAAAAGAUUAAAGCUGUCAAGAUAAAUUCAUUUGAAGUGGGACUGGGAGUUAAAUAUAACAGUUAUAAAAUUCAAAAUAGUACUACAAAUAUUUUCAAAAAAAUAAACCUUGUUCAAAUAAUUAAAGAAUAAACAUCAUAUUAAUGAGUAAAUAUAUAGUGAUAUCAAUAAAUAAAAAUAAAAAACUGAAAAUUCUGUAUCUAAAAAUUAUAACUAAAAGAAAAACCUGAUGAUAAAUUCAACUGCAGAUUUUAAGUGGCAUAUAAAAAAUUAGUGAGCUUGCAAAUAGAUCUAUAAAAAUUAUUCCCUCUGAUACAUAGAAAGGAAGCAAAUAUAGAAGAAAAUAAAAAUGUUUUGCAACAAUAUCAACUGGUACAGCACACAUGUAAUUAGAGUCCGAGAAGGAGAGGACUGAAAUAAAUGAGAGAAAAAAAAUUAAAUAAAUAAUUGAAUAGAAGUUUCUAAAUUUGUUGACAAACAUAAACUUACAAAUGCAAGAAUCUUUGUGAAACUCAGGUAGAAGGAAAACAGAGAAAAUCAUACUCAGGCACAUCAAAUUCAAACUAAUGAAAACCAGAAAUAAUCAGAAAAUUAGAAAGCAGCAAAAGAAAAUGACAUAUUACAUGUGGCAUAUAUGACAUAUGACAAAUAACAAUAUGAUUAGCAUCAGGACAGAAGAUAUUGGAAUGAUAUAUUUAAAACGCUGAAAGAAAAAAGCCUAUAAUUCAAGAUACCUAUAGUCAGAGAAAUU